Oncorhynchus tshawytscha (Chinook salmon) is the source of this 98-nucleotide small nucleolar RNA. The record is from Ensembl. Lineage: Eukaryota; Metazoa; Chordata; Actinopteri; Salmoniformes; Salmonidae.
AAUGUGGUUAAUGAUGCACAACUUUUUUCCCCGUCUUAUCGACUCUGGUGAAACCCAGCCUGAAAAGAAAAAAAAGCCAAUUUGUCUGAAACCACAUU